GAGAGAAUGAAUUGUCUGAGCUUCCCCAUCCUCCUCCCAACCUUAUGCAUGAGCCAGCAACUCCCUUCCACCAGAGGUGAGCACCAAGAGAAGAAGUUUCCUUCGGGGAGACAUUUGCAAAUUCUCCAUGAUUUUCCAUCAAGCCAACCUGCACUGCAACUCAUCAUUCCUUGCAGCAAAGAAUUCCAAGGCAAAUGCAAGAACUUUUAGUCGGUCACCACAGCGGUGGUUUCCUAAAUGCCAGCUACACUUAGAAACCCUCGGAACACAUUCUAUAUAAUAUUGUCUGGUUUCAUGUGUAGGUUUUAUUCUGGAACAAAGCACCAGAGGUCAGAUCAGAUAUUAAACUGGAACUGCACCUGAUCUUAGGCAAGAAGCCACCAUCUCCAAAAUGCCUGAUGUGUAACUGAACAUUUUGCGGGUCAGUCAUCGCUGAUAGUGGAAGAUCCCAAUGUCAACAGCCAGAUUUGGAUUCAAGCUCUCACAGAGUACAGGAGAUAGGGUUACCCCCUGGGCACCUCCUCUGCUAAUUCCAGACUUUAAAAAAAAACA
Mauremys mutica (yellowpond turtle) is the source of this 552-nucleotide long non-coding RNA. RefSeq lists it as uncharacterized. Lineage: Eukaryota; Metazoa; Chordata; Testudines; Geoemydidae. The record is from RefSeq and is a predicted model, not a curated record. The transcript has 3 exons.